RNAcentral lists this unclassified non-coding RNA (253 nucleotides) under uncultured Parcubacteria group bacterium. Its description in RNAcentral is "contains 16S-23S intergenic spacer region". It matches the Rfam family "Bacterial small subunit ribosomal RNA", at positions 524 to 776 of the family's 1533-position model. The record is from RNAcentral.
UACAGAGGCCUCGAGCGUUAUCCGGAAUCAUUGGGCGUAAAGGGUGUGUAGGUGGUUAUAUUAGUCUUGUGUUAAAUCUUCGGGCUCAACUCGAAGCAGGCACGGGAAACGGUAUAACUCGAGGAUGCGAGGGGUGUACGGAACUCAUGGAGUAGGGGUGAAAUCCGUUGAUAUCAUGGGGAACACCAAAAGCGAAGGCAGUACACUGGCGCACUCCUGACACUGAAACACGAAAGCUAGGGUAGCGAACGGG